CCUACGGGAGGCAGCAGUGAGGAAUAUUGGUCAAUGGGCGGGAGCCUGAACCAGCCAAGCCGCGUGCGGGAAGAAGGUACAGCGUAUCGUAAACCUCUUUUGUCAGGGAACAAAGGCGGGCACUAGUCCUCGGAUGAGGGUACCUGAAGAAAAAGCAUCGGCUAACUCCGUGCCAGCAGCCGCGGUAAUACGGAGGAUGCGAGCGUUAUCCGGAUUUAUUGGGUUUAAAGGGUGCGCAGGCGGCCGGUUAAGCCGGCGGUAAAAGCCCGGGGCUCAACCCGGGCGAGCCGUUGGAACUGGCUGGCUGGAGUGGGAGGGAAGUACGCGGAAUGCGCGGUGUAGCGGUGAAAUGCUUAGAUAUCGCGCAGAACCCCGAUUGCGAAGGCAGCAUACCGGAGCCACACUGACGCUGAGGCACGAAGGCGUGGGUAUCGAACAGGAUUAGAUACCCUGGUAGUC
RNAcentral lists this ribosomal RNA (459 nucleotides) under uncultured bacterium. RNAcentral describes it as "partial 16S ribosomal RNA". It matches the Rfam family "Bacterial small subunit ribosomal RNA", at positions 338 to 795 of the family's 1533-position model. The record is from RNAcentral.